CCCUUAGAUGUUCUGGGCCGCACGCGCGCUACACUGACGAAUGCAACGAGCUUAUAACCUUGACCGAAAGGUCUGGGUAAUCUCCAAAUUUCGUCGUGAUGGGGAUAGAUUAUUGCAAUUAUUAAUCUUCAACGAGGAAUGCCUAGUAAGCGCAAGUCAUCAGCUUGCGUUGAUUACGUCCCUGCCCUUUGUACACACCGCCCGUCGCUCCUACCGAUUGAAUGGUCCGGUGAAGCGUUCGGACCGUGGCCUUUGGACGGUUCGCCGUCUGUUGGCUGCGGGAAGUUCGUUAAACCUUAUCAUUUAGAGGAAGGAGAANUCGUANCA
This 327-nucleotide ribosomal RNA is filed under the name uncultured eukaryote. Its description in RNAcentral is "partial 18S ribosomal RNA". It matches the Rfam family "Eukaryotic small subunit ribosomal RNA", at positions 1470 to 1796 of the family's 1831-position model. The record is from RNAcentral.